CUCCAGCUCAGUCUCCUUCAAUGACAUCCUGUCCAACCAGUCCCAGGACAGCUGUCCAAGACAACAUGAUUCAAUGAGGAACAUGAGACAAGUGCCUGUGAAUACCAUAGAGUUCAUGGGCCCCCCUACCCCAAGGAGAGCUGGAACAUUCCUUACACCUGUGCCAGUUUCCAGCACCCCUGGUUCAUCUGAUUUCUUUGGAGCUAAGCCUUCCAACCUUGAAGGAAUACUGUCACCAUCAUCAAAUCAGUCUAUUGCAAUUGCAUCCAGUAACAUUGCAGCAGCCAGCAAAGGGGACUC
Long non-coding RNA from Saccostrea cuccullata (small rock oyster), 300 nucleotides. RefSeq lists it as uncharacterized. NCBI's taxonomy places the organism in Eukaryota, Metazoa, Mollusca, Bivalvia, Ostreida, Ostreidae. The transcript has 3 exons. The record is from RefSeq and is a predicted model, not a curated record.